GUACACGCUGUGACUAGCAUAUCAAUAAGCGGAGGAAAAGAAACUAACAAGGAUUCCCCUAGUAACGGCGAGUGAAGCGGGAAGAGCUCAAAUUUGAAAUCUUAAAGGGUUUCCCUUUACGAAUUGUAGUUUAAAGAAGUGUUUUCUGUUGAGGUUUUGGUAAAAGUUCUUUGGAAUAGGACAUCAUAGAGGGUGAGAAUCCCGUAUUUGACCUUUACUUUCAACCUUGUGAUACACUUUCAAAGAGUCGGAUUGUUUGGGAAUGCAGUCCAAAAUGGGUGGUAAAUUUCAUCUAAAGCUAAAUAUUGGCGAGAGACCGAUAGCGAACAAGUACCGUGAGGGAAAGAUGAAAAGAACUUUGAAAAGAGAGUUAAACAGUACGUGAAAUUGUCAAAAGGGAAGCGUUUGACACCAGUGUUGUUUUUCUGAAGAUCAAUUAAAGAACUGUUUAUGCUAAGUUGUUUAGACUUUAUCAGCUAACUGUUUAGUUUUGAGCUUUUCUUUAAUGCACUUUUCAGUUAACAAGUCAACAUCAAUUUCUUUUGCUGUAAAAAAGCUUGAGGAAGGUGGCUUGAGAUUCGUCUUAAGUGUUUAUAGCCUCUUGCCUAUGCAGUCGGAGAGAUUGAGGUCUGCAGCGUAGAUCCUUCGGGGCUAAAUGCAUUUGUGCUAAGUUAUAGCAUUUCAUAGACAACUUGUUGACUAUGAUUUGUCUUGUAGCUUACUCGCUUAUGUUAUUUUACCUACGCUUAGGAUGUUGACGAGACUGUCGAUCUC
RNAcentral lists this ribosomal RNA (774 nucleotides) under uncultured Neocallimastigales. RNAcentral describes it as "partial large subunit ribosomal RNA". It matches the Rfam family "Eukaryotic large subunit ribosomal RNA", at positions 22 to 646 of the family's 3401-position model. The record is from RNAcentral. Lineage: Eukaryota; Fungi; Neocallimastigomycota; Neocallimastigomycetes; Neocallimastigales.